RNAcentral lists this long non-coding RNA (1441 nucleotides) under Crocodylus porosus (Australian saltwater crocodile). RNAcentral's name for it is "lncRNA (ENSCPRG00005006660.1)". The record is from RNAcentral. Lineage: Eukaryota; Metazoa; Chordata; Crocodylia; Crocodylidae.
UUUUAGUAGAUUAGUGUGAAACAGUGUCACCUUGUGGUCGGUUAGGUUAUUCUUGAUUAUGUCUUUUAUUUCAUACGGGAAGUCUAGAGGAAGAUUCCUCAUUGUUUAAAUAUGUGUGUGUGUGCAUAGACAUGCUUUUGUAAUAUCAUACCAAAUUAGUUUCAAACAGAAAUUACAAUAGCAUUACUUUUCUACUCUUGCUGAAUUAUGUUUCAUGGUGAAAAUAAUUUACUUUUUGAUUCAGUGCUAUUAAAAGUUGAUUUUUAGCAUUUCUAAGAAAUGCUAUUAAUGCUCAAAAGAAAUCUCAAGACAAGUCAUUCUCAUUCCAUAUUCAUAAGACUAGAAUAUGUCCUGUAAGGGAACACUGGCUGGGAGAGGAACUGGAUGACCUAAUCAGUAGGUCUUUACCAGACCUAACAUCUGUGAUUCUGAAAGCUCCUAGCUGGGAGGGAAAAGUCUGAUGAAGAAUCCAAAGAAAUUCAGAUUCUCAAACUGUGUGGCUCCAGGUUGGUAUUUGGGUAUUUCCAAGCUCAGUGUCACUCUGUCUUUCUCACCCCCACACCCCCAAUGGAUCCCAAACUAGUAUUUUUUAUAAAAGUCUGAAACAUCACCAACCAGUCCAGGAAACAGUGACUUGAGCUGAAAUCUUAACCAGUAACAAUGCCACUUUUAAAGAGCUGAUGCACUAGGUUGCCUGAUACUGAAUAGUAGUAAAUAGGUUUAGCUGCCACUCAUUAGGGCAGCAGUUGCCAGUUGCUAUGGUAAUUAAUUGGGUCAGCUGACUGCCAGGGGGCAGGGCCUGGCCUUUAUAAACAGAGGAGGCUAAGCCAGGGCUAGUUCUCUUCUGGCAGUCUGAGGAGCAGCGCAGCGCAGCGCAGCGCAGCGCAGCGCAGCGCAGCGCAGCACAGCACAGCACAGCAGGCUGAGUCUACAUGACAAGAUGGGGGGAGAGAACCCUGACAGGAGUGUAUGUUAUAGCCAGGAGGCUUAUUUUGUGUCUCAGCUGGAAAGUGCUGGGAUGGAAGACCCCUGGCUAUGUUCUUGCUGUGAUGAGAGUUGUAACGCUGACCGCUGCUGGAAGUAUGCAUCUCCAUUUGGUGUUGAUGGAUCCUACUGUCACUGGAAUGCAGGGCUUAUGGCCAUAACAAGAAGCACACCAGACCUAGAGAAAAGCAACUUCACCAAUGAAAACCCACAUGAUGUCAUACCAGUUGAUCACCAGCUGGUCUACACAGGAAGCACAAGAUUUGAAUGGGCCUCCCAGGCCACUGAGUCCAAUUCCCUGUAUUCACAAGCAAACAUUUACCAGGGAUCCCUAAAAAAAUUUCCACUCUUUAUGGACCAUAAAGCACAAAACCAGAAACACCAAGAAUGCCCUACAGCAGGCCACAAGUAGAAGCAGGGGAGACAAAGGCAUUGCCAGUGCCAUGCCACUUUGAUG